Molecule: small nuclear RNA, 105 nt
Organism: Macrobrachium nipponense
Lineage: Eukaryota; Metazoa; Arthropoda; Malacostraca; Decapoda; Palaemonidae
Source: RefSeq, a predicted model, not a curated record
GUACUUGCUUUGAUAGUACAUAUAUUAAAUUUGCCUGACUCAGAAAAGAUUAACAUGGCCCCUGUACAAGGAUAACAUGCAAAUUGUGAAGCUUCCACAUUUUUU